RNAcentral lists this ribosomal RNA (440 nucleotides) under uncultured bacterium. RNAcentral's name for it is "partial 16S ribosomal RNA". It matches the Rfam family "Bacterial small subunit ribosomal RNA", at positions 338 to 795 of the family's 1533-position model. The record is from RNAcentral.
CCUACGGGGGGCAGCAGUGGGGGAUAUUGCACAAUGGGGGGAACCCUGAUGCAGCGACGCCGCGUGGGUGAAGAAGCGCCUCGGCGCGUAAAGCCCUGUCAGCAGGGAAGAAAAUGACGGUACCUGAUGAAGAAGCACCGGCUAACUACGUGCCAGCAGCCGCGGUCAUACGUAGGGGGCAAGCGUUAUCCGGAUUUACUGGGUGUAAAGGGGGCGCAGACGGCGAUGCAAGCCAGGGGUGAAAGCCCGGGGCCCAACCCCGGGACUGCUCGUGGAACUGGGUGGAUGGAGUGCCGGAGGGGCAGGCGGAAUGCCUGGUGUAGGAGUGAAAUGCGUAGAUAUCAGGAGGAACACCGGUGGCGAAGGCGGCCUGCUGGACUGCAACUGACGUUGAGGCCCGAAAGCGUGGGGAGCAAACAGGAUUAGAUACCCCAGUAGUC